RNAcentral lists this unclassified non-coding RNA (370 nucleotides) under soil metagenome. RNAcentral describes it as "partial contains 5.8S ribosomal RNA, internal transcribed spacer 2, and large subunit ribosomal RNA". The stretch from base 1 to 120 matches the Rfam family "5.8S ribosomal RNA", at positions 35 to 154 of the family's 154-position model. The record is from RNAcentral.
GAUGAAGAACGUAGCGAAAUGCGAUAAGUAGUGUGAAUUGCAGAAUUCAGUGAAUCAUCGAAUCUUUGAACGCACAUUGCGCCCUUUGGUAUUCCGAAGGGCAUGCCUGUUCGAGCGUCAUUAUCACCCCUCAAGCCCUCGGCUUGGUGUUGGACGGUUUGGUGGAGGCCCCCUCGGGGGCUCCUGCCCCUCCCAAAGACAAUGACGGCGGCCUCGUUGGACCCCCGGUACACUGAGUUCUUCACGGGACACGUAUCGGACACAUGGGUUUACGGGACACGGUCUGCCUCCCCUCAGGGAGAAUCUUUCUAAGGUUGACCUCGGAUCAGGUAGGGAUACCCGCUGAACUUAAGCAUAUCAAUAAGCAGGA